Molecule: long non-coding RNA, 540 nt
Filed under: Homo sapiens (human)
Lineage: Eukaryota; Metazoa; Chordata; Mammalia; Primates; Hominidae
Description: HSALNT0407157
Source: RNAcentral
CUCUUGCCUGUUGCCGUGUGAGGUGGGGUUUUGCUUCUCCUUUGCCUUUCGCCAUGAUUGUGAAGCCUCCCCAGCCACGUCGAACUAAAAUGAGAGGAUGAGAGUCUGAAAUGACUGGCAAAUAUCACUGUGCACUGAUCGCUGCCAUGGGAACAAAGGAAAGAUACCUCACUCAGGUGAAGAGAAAGAGAGGGGACAAAUGAAGGGAGACACAAAACGGCGUGAUGAUAAAGAAAUACAGGCUCUGAAAUGGCAUGUGAUUUGCCCAAAGUCAGUGAGCUACUAAGUGAGAGGUGGAAGAGAAAGUGAGGUGCCUGUCUUUAGAACUCAGACCUUUAUCUUCAUCUUCUGAAAGAAAUGAAAAUGUGCUCAAAAUCCUGCCACUGGGAACUAUCAACAGAAUUUACAGAUCAUUAGACAUUUCUCCACGCAUACUACAAAUAAAAGGAUGGAAGAAAGAACAGAGAUUUUUUUGUGAAAAUAAGAUAUUGUAACAUGCUCUUUUUAAACAAAGGUACAACAUUAGAAUUUAAACUCAAC